RNAcentral lists this transfer RNA (73 nucleotides) under Ailuropoda melanoleuca (giant panda). It matches the Rfam family "tRNA". Rfam says of the family: Transfer RNA (tRNA) molecules are approximately 80 nucleotides in length. Lineage: Eukaryota; Metazoa; Chordata; Mammalia; Carnivora; Ursidae. The record is from Rfam by way of RNAcentral.
UCCUGGCUGGCUCAGUCAGUAGAGCAUGUGACUGUUUAUCUCAGGGUCAUGAGUUUGAGCCCCAUGUUGGGUA